RNAcentral lists this unclassified non-coding RNA (380 nucleotides) under uncultured bacterium. RNAcentral describes it as "contains 16S-23S intergenic spacer region". The record is from RNAcentral.
UCCGGUUUGACACCGGCAGUCCCGUUAGAGUGCCCAGCUUUACCUGAUGGCAACUAACGGCAAGGGUUGCGCUCGUUGCGGGACUUAACCCAACAUCUCACGACACGAGCUGACGACAGCCAUGCAGCACCUGUUUUCCGGGCCCCGAAGGGCACCCCCGUAUUUCUACAGGGUUCCGUCAAUGUCAAGUCUGGGUAAGGUUCUUCGCGUUGCGUCGAAUUGAACCACAUGCUCCACCGCUUGUGCGGGCCCCCGUCAAUUCCUUUGAGUUUCAGCCUUGCGGCCGUACUCCCCAGGCGGGGCACUUAAUGCGUUAGCUCCGACACCGAAUGCGUCUAUACACCCGGCAUCUAGUGCCCAUCGUUUACGGCGUGGACUAC